Molecule: small nucleolar RNA, 110 nt
Filed under: Naumovozyma dairenensis CBS 421
Lineage: Eukaryota; Fungi; Ascomycota; Saccharomycetes; Saccharomycetales; Saccharomycetaceae
Description: Small nucleolar RNA R38
Rfam family: Small nucleolar RNA R38
About the family: snoR38 is a C/D box small nucleolar RNA conserved across yeast, human, Arabidopsis and rice. It is encoded in the intron of elongation factor-1 gamma in both pombe and cerevisiae. snoR38 guides the methylation of 2'-O-ribose sites in 28S rRNA.
Source: Rfam by way of RNAcentral
UUAAAAUGAUGAGAAAUAUUUUUAUAAAUUUUUAUAUUAACAGUUAUCCCUGUCUGAAUGAGGCCUUAACACCCUCGUAUAUGUCGAGAUAUUUUUAUUCUGAAAUUUAA